RNAcentral lists this non-coding RNA (3098 nucleotides) under Pan troglodytes (chimpanzee). The record is from RNAcentral. Lineage: Eukaryota; Metazoa; Chordata; Mammalia; Primates; Hominidae.
AGCGCUCUGUUCUGCCCUUUGACUGAAAAUAGCUCUUCCUGACACAGCCUUGGGUAGUGAAGGCAGCUUGGUCACGUCUGUCCCAUGGUGUAACUAAUCUUUAGGAUCUGCAGAGACCUGCCUUCCUCUGCAAUUGUAACUGUACCUCCAAUCGUGAGUUUCAUCUGGCAGCUUAACUGGGCUACCAGCGAGGUCCUCAUAAUGGCUUUUGCUCCUUGCCUCGCGGAGACCCGACUCUGGAAUCCUUAGCCAGUGAGAUGUGGUCUCACUAUGUUGUCUAGACUGGCCUCAAACUGCUGGGCUCCUGCGAUCCACCUACCUUGGCCUUCCAAAGUGCUGGGAUUACAGGCGUGAGCCACCAUGCCCAGCCGCUUCAUCUUUCUUUACUCAUGCCUUAGAGGACUCGGUCAAGACAAUGGUGCCCUCAGGAAGGUUACGAGAGAGCAAGCUGUGCUGCUUUGCCCAUCUUGGGAUGAGCGUCACCCAGAGAGAGGGACCAGAAUCCCUGAGGCCAUCUUGGUUCAUCUGCACCGUCUCUCCUACACCUCUUCACCCCUCCCCUCUCCACUUCACUCCAGGCUGCGUUGGGGCGGGGAGGUGAUCAUCCAAGGCCCUGGCUCUCCAUCGAGACCCCAGCCAGGUAGUGCCCCUAUUGCCUGAGCAAGCUUGCGCAGGAUGGGGCUGGAGCUGCACUAUUUGGAUCUUCUUGGAGUAGAAAAUUCACAAAUUCCAACCUCUGCUCCCAAAGCAAACCUCCCCAGCCCAGGUGGCUGCAUCCUUCUCCUCCCCUCCACCCAGUUCCCUGGGUCGCCAAGCCGGAGGCUUUGAAAACCAGCUUGUGUUUGGUUUGUGAAAGCACCAAUGUUUGCAAUGUUUGCCCAGCAGAGAAGGAGCAUAUUUUCUCCCUUCCAAAUGCAAACUCAAAAGAUGCUCCACAAGUUUUUCUUCAGACUUUCCACAGGAAACAUAAAUAAGAAAGAAAAAUGACUUUAGGUGCUGAGACCUGAAAUGGAAUUUCAACCCUGAAGGAACUGCCUGUAACAAGCACUCUCUGUCCUUCAGUGAAGGCUUCGAGAGCCUAGGUGCAUGUUUCUUUCCUCUGAGCAGCCUUCACAGAUGAGGCAAGGGGAGGAGCUGAACCAGUUCUUAGACCUGACUCCCAGCUAGGUCUUCAGCCCCACACAAUGAAUGGCCAGUGACUGGCACAGCAGCUGAGAUUCCCUGGCUACAGUGUUCUUUUUUAUCUUUCUUGAUUGUGUUAGGGUAGAACAAAUGAGGGUGCUGCAACCCGAGAGGCCCAGCCACACUGCAAGCCAGCACAAUCAGAGUGUGAAGUGUGGACACGCCCCCCUGGAACACAAGGCCACAGUUUGCCACCUGCUCUGCCCUUGUCUCCGUCUCGGAAGAAGGACAUCCCUGAUCUGUGGCCUCUGUCCUCACGGAUCUUAUAAUUAUCAGACAAACACAACCACAGAGAGGCUGGAAGGCAGUGCUUCAGCAUCACACAUAUGCAUCGGUGACCAGAGUUCUGAUUAAUCUUAAUGCACAGAUAAUUGGAGCAUUUCUUGCUCACAGCUUAUAGCCACCAAAUGACUGCUUCCAGGUUAGGAGUUUGCAGAAUAUGUACACACACGGAGCCCUACAAAAGGCUCCAGACCCAAGAAAUACAGGGUUGAAGUCAGUGUGGACAGUUCUAAUGCAGCUAAUACAUUCUAACUGAUUUGUUGUGAGCUAAGGGUUGAGUGUUUACAGUUUAAGGUCACUGUUUCUGUCUCCUGACAUCUGAGAACCUUUCUUCUUCUUCUUUUUUUUUGAGACAGAGUCUUGCCGUGUCAUCCAGGCUGGAGUGCAGUGGCAUGAUCUCGGCUCACUGUAACCUCUGCUUCCCAGGUUCAAGCGAUUCUCUUGCCUCAGCCUCCUGAGUAGCUGGGAUUAUAGGCACCCCCCGCCAGACCUGGCAAAUUUUGUAUUUUUAGUUUCGCCGUGUUGGCCAGGCUGGUCUCGAACUCCUGGUCUCAAGUGAUCCACCCACCUUAGCCUCCCAAAGUGCUGGGAUUACAGGCGUGAGCCACCGCGCCUCACCCAAGAACUUUUCUUCUUAAAGUGUUUUCCUUUCCCAUUGCAUUCUAUCUUUGGAUAGGCCCAACGAGGCCAUUGAGCAUCUACCCUUUUUACAAAACAUAUUAUCAAUCUUAUAGCCCAUAUGUUUAGUGAUAAGUCAACUAAACAAAGCAAGGGACCCCACUGGAAGGUGCUUGUGGGAAGUGUACCCUUCCAUCUAGGACUUCACUUUGAUGUACCAAAUUCUGAGAAAGACCCCAGAAGCCAUUUCCUUCUUGCUGAGGUUUAUUUAUCUUGUUUAUCUGAAGCCAGGGCCAAUAACCCAAAUGGCUUUCAAAUGGCUACAAAAGUUUCUCAGCAUUCGAUUAAUCAGUCCCAUCACAGACAAGUCAACUAACCUGCAGACCCACGUGCUGUACUCAUAGGCGGUGCUGGUUCUGGCAGGGGUGAUCUGGGAGGAGGUAUUUCCCGGAGGUGUUUCCGAAGGGAGAGGCACUAGCUGAAGUUGGCUCUGAGAUUCGAAGCGGAGGAGGAAAGGGAAGGUGGAGUGCUGAUGCUGACAAGGUGAGGAAGAGGAGGAGUAGAGAUUACCAGCGCUCAGAGCAUGGGUUUUGGAGGCACACAGAUCUGUGCCCAAAGGGCUAUCAAUGCUCUUCCACUUCAUUGCUGAGCAACCUGAUGUGUUCAUACGUUCCCUGAUAUGUAAAAGUGGCACAAUACUUGCGUCUACCUUAUAAAGUGCCUGCAAGCACUAAGACAAAAUGUAGACAGAGCUUAAUGCAGUGCCGGACUCAGUCAACAAAUAGCAAAUGGAAGUCGUUCUCAUUAAACAGCAAAAAGGAAGACAGAAGAAGACAAAGGGGAGAUGGGGAGGGGAUGCCGUGGGAGGCUGUGGGUGGGGUGCAGAGGCUGACACUACAGACAGCAGCCCCUCACCCAGCUCCAUCUCUGGGCGCCUGGGACAACACAGCUCUCGGUCCAGACAGGCUGCUCAGAUGUUUAUUAAGAAACCACCCAUAAAAGUUAUUGGAAACUUU